AUCCCGAACACAGCAGUUAAGCUCUUCAUCGCCGAUGGUACUCGGACCGCAGGGUCCCGGGAGAGUAGGACGUAGCCAAUU
This 81-nucleotide ribosomal RNA is filed under the name Acetoanaerobium noterae. The record is from RNAcentral. Lineage: Bacteria; Bacillati; Bacillota; Clostridia; Peptostreptococcales; Filifactoraceae.